Long non-coding RNA from Uranotaenia lowii, 999 nucleotides. RefSeq lists it as uncharacterized. Lineage: Eukaryota; Metazoa; Arthropoda; Insecta; Diptera; Culicidae. The record is from RefSeq and is a predicted model, not a curated record. The transcript has 4 exons.
AAAACUGACUUAUUCAUAAAAUGUAUUGCGAUUACACUUUCAUUAUAACUAAUCGGUUGUUGCUCAAAAUUUGUAUAUCACAAAUUCAAUUUUGGAUAGUUUUGGGUUGCCAAUAUACAUACUUGGACUAAAACUCAAUUAUUCAUGCUCUGUAUAAAAAGUUUGCUGUUGUUGGAAUUGUGUUGGAAGGGGAUGCCAAAGCGAAUUUCAAAAGCUUUUAGAUGGCGGUGUAAUGAGUAUUUACAAUUAAAAGCGUCUUUUUGUGAAUAGACCGCUUAAAUAUUUAAAAUCGCCUCAAAUUUAAUUGUUUGUUUGCCGGACAUUUGAUUUCAGAUCGUUUUCCAUUGGAAAUUGGUAAGUUUGAAUGAGAAAAAAUUUGUUUUGUUCUGCCGUCUGGAAAUAACGAUUCUUGUUUUGUUUUUUUUUCUAGGUCACAACUCGAAGGGAAUCUCCGAAAAAGGAUGAAACCAUUGGAUAAAUAUGGUUAUGAGAGGUAAUGUGGUUGUUUUUGGGCGGCUAUCAGAAUCCGGAAGAUGGAUGAAAAAGGUGCACCAGCCGUCGGCGUACAUACAUAUAGAAUUUCGAAGAAAAAAACAUUCAGACCAACCGGAAACCCCCUGACUCAUUAUUUUCCAUCUUCAGAGGGCCGAUUGUCCGGAAGGCGGUUAAUGGCGCUAAGAUUGGUUUUGGAUAGUUUCUGUUCCGAGUGGCUGCCGGAGAAAAGCUAUUGAAGGUGCUUGGAAAUUAUUCAAUGCACUAAUUCAGAGCAGAGGAGGAAGAGCUUUUUUAUCGGGCCAGAUUCCAUGAUCCCUACUUCAAUCCAUGCUAGAGCGUGCGGAAGCAAAUCCGUACUGGAUGUUGAGGCCGAUCGAGAUGAAAAUUGCGGAAACCAAGACGAACAGCCGUAUAGCCCUGAAUUUUUUGCCUAAUAUCUAGGCUGCUACUGCCUAUUCCUAUAUUUGCCAUGAAAAGGUAGGAAAAAAAACUCGUAGGAGUGUA